RNAcentral lists this ribosomal RNA (488 nucleotides) under uncultured bacterium. Its description in RNAcentral is "partial 16S ribosomal RNA". It matches the Rfam family "Bacterial small subunit ribosomal RNA", at positions 28 to 507 of the family's 1533-position model. The record is from RNAcentral.
GACGAACGCUGGCGGCGUGCUUAACACAUGCAAGUCGAACGGAAAGGCCCUGCUUUUGUGGGGUGCUCGAGUGGCGAACGGGUGAGUAUCACGUGAGUAACCUGCCCUUGACUUUGGGAUAACUUCAGGAAACUGGGGCUAAUACCGGAUAGGAGCUCCUGCUGCAUGGUGGGGGUUGGAAAGUUUCGGCGUUUGGGGAUGGACUCGCGGCUUAUUAGCUUGUUGGUGGGGUAGAGGCUUACCAAGGCUAUGACGGGUAGCUGGCCUGAGAGGGUGACCGGCCAAACUGGAACUGAGACACGGUCCAGACUCCGACGGGAGGCAGCAGUGGGGAAUAUUGGACAAUGGGCGCAAGCGUGAUCCAGCCAUACCGCGUGGGUGAAGAAGGCCUUAGGGUUGUAAAGCCCUUUUGUUGGGAAAGAAAAGCAGCAGGUUAAUACCCCGCUGUUCUGACGGUACCCAAAGAAUAAGCACCGGCUAACUUCGUG